Molecule: long non-coding RNA, 928 nt
Filed under: Androctonus crassicauda
Lineage: Eukaryota; Metazoa; Arthropoda; Arachnida; Scorpiones; Buthidae
Source: RNAcentral
GUUAUGGCGAAACUGCUUAUCUAACAGCAAACACGAACCUCAUCAACCAAUGCCAACAUCUUCAAAAUAUAUAAAUUUAAGAGGACCAGCAAUGAUCAACAUUAAUUAUUACGUUUCUGUUGUGUUCAAGUCUGAAAAGAGGUUCGUAAGCGCCAUCUGCAUCAAUGAUGAGCGCCAUCUGCAGCUUGUCCUUUCGUCCUUCCGUCGCCAUAUUGCCACGGAACAAGAGUGAUCAGAGAUUACGUUGUAGAUUGAAAUCUCCAAGCAGUAUAAAACCUCAUUGUAUUCUAUUUCAUUUCGAGAAGAAUUUCGGGGUCCGGAUAAAAGCAAAUCGUUUGUAUUAUGUACUUACGUCAAUAAUUUCGUCAGUGCGGCGUUGCUUCGCAACGAGUCGUUGUUAGCGAACAGUUGUCCUUGACGACGAUUGCACUAGACGUCGUAGGGAUUUCUAGGUCGAUUCUGUUUGAGUAAAUUGAUAGUUUGUAAAUUUACGUAUUGAAAAAUGAUAACUUCAAGAUGUAAAAAAGUAUUUUAAAUUUAUCUUUUACCUUGUUAAAUUGGUUAACGCUUGAGGGCGUUGUCAGCGUCCAUCAUGGCGCACAUGAUCUCCUGCCAGCUCAAGUAAAGAAUAAUGAAUCACUGCGCAUGUGCCAGAUAGCUGCAACCAAGCUAUCGUUAGACACGAAAGAGGAAAAAGCGAAAACAACUAUCUGCAAUUAAUAGAUCAUUUGCGCAAGUUUAGUAAUUAGUUUGAACUUAAAAUCAGUCGUAUGAAAAAUAAGCAAAUUGUUUCUAUUAAUUAUAUGCUAAAAUUGUUCAAUGAAAUUAUCUACUUAAUAAGUAUUUCGAUAAAUUUUUGAUCAUACGAAUAUUUAAAAAUUUUAAGUAUCUUUGUUCUGUAUCUGUGUAGAUUAAAAAUAUUUCCAAG